UAGCUAGUUGGUGAGGUAACGGCCCACCAAGGCGACGAUCGGUAGCCGGACUGAGAGGUUGAACGGCCACAUUGGGACUGAGACACGGCCCAGACUCCUACGGGAGGCAGCAGUGGGGAAUAUUGCACAAUGGGGGAAACCCUGAUGCAGCGACGCCGCGUGGAGGAAGAAGGUCUUCGGAUUGUAAACUCCUGUUGUUGAGGAAGAUAAUGACGGUACUCAACAAGGAAGUGACGGCUAACUACGUGCCAGCAGCCGCGGUAAAACGUAGGUCACAAGCGUUGUCCGGAAUUACUGGGUGUAAAGGGAGCGCAGGCGGAAAGACAAGUUGGAAGUGAAAUCCAUGGGCUCAACCCAUGAACUGCUUUCAAAACUGUUUUUCUUGAGUAGUGCAGAGGUAGGCGGAAUUCCCGGUGUAGCGGUGGAAUGCGUAGAUAUCGGGAGGAACACCAGUGGCGAAGGCGGCCUACUGGGCACCAACUGACGCUGAGGCUCGAAAGUGUGGGUAGCAAACAGGAUUAGAUACCCUGUAGUCCACACCGUAAACGAUGAUUACUAGGUGUUGGAGGAUUGACCCCUUCAGUGCCGCAGUUAACACAAUAAGUAAUCCACCUGGGGAGUACGACCGCAAGGUUGAAACUCAAAGGAAUUGACGGGGGCCCGCACAAGCAGUGGAGUAUGUGGUUUAAUUCGACGCAACGCGAAGAACCUUACCAAGUCUUGACAUCCUGCGACGGUUCUGGAAACAGAGCUUUCCUUCGGGACGCAGAGACAGGUGGUGCAUGGUUGUCGUCAGCUCGUGUCGUGAGAUGUUGGGUUAAGUCCCGCAACGAGCGCAACCCUUAUGGUCAGUUACUACGCAAGAGGACUCUGGCCAGACUGCCGUUGACAAAACGGAGGAAGGUGGGGAUGACGUCAAAUCAUCAUGCCCUUUAUGACUAGGGCUACACACGUACUACAAUGGCGUUAAACAAAGAGAAGCAAGACCGCGAGGUGGAGCAAAACUCAGAAACAACGUCCCAGUUCGGACUGCAGGCUGCAACUCGCCUGCACGAAGUCGGAAUUGCUAGUAAUCAUGGAUCAGCAUGCCACGGUGAAUACGUUCCCGGGCCUUGUACACACCGCCCGUCACACCAUGAGAGCCGGGGGGACCCGAAGUCGGUAGUCUAACCGCAAGGAGGACGCCGCCGAAGGUAAAACUGGUGAUUGGGGUGAAGUCGUAACAAGGUAGCCGUAGGAGUACCUGCGGCUG
This 1252-nucleotide ribosomal RNA is filed under the name metagenome. RNAcentral describes it as "bacterial SSU rRNA". It matches the Rfam family "Bacterial small subunit ribosomal RNA", at positions 242 to 1520 of the family's 1533-position model. The record is from RNAcentral.